UACGUAGGGGGCAAGCGUUGUCCGGAAUCAUUGGGCGUAAAGGGUGCGUAGGCGGCGCGGUAAGUCGGGUGUGAAAUCUCGGGGCUUAACUCCGAAACUGCAUUCGAUACUGCCGUGCUUGAGGACUGGAGAGGAGACUGGAAUUUACGGUGUAGCAGUGAAAUGCGUAGAGAUCGUAAGGAAGACCAGUGGCGAAGGCGGGUCUCUGGACAGUUCCUGACACUGAGGCACGAAGGCCAGGGGAGCAAACGGG
This 253-nucleotide ribosomal RNA is filed under the name uncultured bacterium. Its description in RNAcentral is "partial 16S ribosomal RNA". It matches the Rfam family "Bacterial small subunit ribosomal RNA", at positions 524 to 776 of the family's 1533-position model. The record is from RNAcentral.